UGACGAUUUUGUUAAUGAUGUAGAAGUUGGUGACAUGCUUCUUGUUGAUGGUGGUAUGAUGUCACUAUUGGUGAAGUCCAAAACAGAGGACUCAGUGAAAUGUGAAGUUGUUGAUGGUGGAGAACUUAAGUCUAGGCGUCAUCUAAAUGUUAGAGGAAAAAGCGCAACACUGCCUUCCAUCACUGAAAAGGAUUGGGAUGACAUAAAAUUUG
Molecule: unclassified non-coding RNA, 212 nt
Filed under: Hevea brasiliensis (rubber tree)
Lineage: Eukaryota; Viridiplantae; Streptophyta; Magnoliopsida; Malpighiales; Euphorbiaceae
Source: RNAcentral